This 71-nucleotide transfer RNA is filed under the name Spodoptera frugiperda (fall armyworm). Its description in RNAcentral is "tRNA-Gln". Lineage: Eukaryota; Metazoa; Arthropoda; Insecta; Lepidoptera; Noctuidae. The record is from RNAcentral.
UUAUAUUUUAGUGUAAAAUGCACAAUAAUUUUUGAAAUUAUUAGGUAUAGUUUAAUUCUAUAAAAUAUAAU